This 1350-nucleotide long non-coding RNA is filed under the name Lupinus mutabilis. Its description in RNAcentral is "partial ncRNA". Lineage: Eukaryota; Viridiplantae; Streptophyta; Magnoliopsida; Fabales; Fabaceae. The record is from RNAcentral.
AUAUAAUUGAUCACCAAUUAUUUAUACAUGUGACAAUUGUUUUGGUUGUGAAUCAAGAGAGAAAUAGAGCAAGGUAUCCUCUAUCAAUCAAUAAAUCUUCAUCUUACAAUUUGAUAAUAAAUAUUGAGAAUUUAUAUAAGAUCCUCUCAACCUUAAUGCUUAGUUACUAGAAGUAAAAAGAAGGGUUGAAUGGAUAUAUCUGCUUCACAAUACAACAGUUCUAGUGAAUCUGGUUGGACUAAUUACUUAGACCAAUCCACUUUUGCUGAAAAUCACUUCCAAAGGAUGAGUGCUAUUGCUGAUAAUGAAGGAAAGGGAGAAAGAAUAGAAGAAUCUGAAGACUUAUCAAUGGUUUCUGAUGCUUCUUCUGGACCUCCACAUUGUGAUGAUGAAUGCUAUUGUGAGAAUUGCUAUCCUUACAAGUAUUAUACAAAGGACUCACAAAAGAAGGUUAAAGAAUAUAGCAGAAUUCAACAUCAACCUUCAACUCUUGAUGACACUGCUAGCUCCUCUCUUUUCAACUUUCCCAAGGAGAGUCAAAAGAAGCAAGUCAAAUUCUUAGGAAAUGGAGCAAUGGAGAAUGCAAUGGAUUUUUCUCAGCGUUUAUCUGCAACUAAAAUAAAUGUGCACCUCUAUUCUUAUUGUUUUUUCAUUCAUUAUAUUAUGAGUUGUGACAAUCAAACUUAAGCAUUUUAUUGGAUUUGAGCUGAAUUCGUAAGCUUCUGCAGAGAAAAGCUAAAAUCCAGAAGCACUUCAGAGGAAAACAAGCUUCACGAGAACCAGGUUCUCCAUUGUUUCUUAAAAUUUAUGGGCAGUUCGAAUAAUCAGCUUAAUUAAGCAUUUAUAGAAUAAGUUUUUUGAAAUAAGCUGAAAAGACAUAUUUUUUAUAAGCUAAUCUUAUUGAAAUAAGAUAAAAGAUGUUCUUAUAAAGACUCCAAACACCCAUUGUUAUGCUUCUACUAAUAAGUGCAUUGUUUCAUUAUGUCUUGAUUAGACGGAUUUAAUGAAGAACAAAGGAUGGGAUAGAUUUUGAGGUAACUAGCUAUUGUCUCUGCUUCUGUGAAAUAGAGAGAUCAUGAAAUGUGAAAGGGGAAGAAAUUCAAUGAACAAUGAAAAACACUCAUCUUGUUUUCUUCUUUGCUCUUGUUUCUUUAAUAAAAAAUAUUGAAAAAGAAAAGCACUUUUGUUGUAGUUUCUUCUUUUUUGAAUGUGCUACUGUAUUACUGCCAACAAUAUCUUUGGGACCUAAGAUAUUGUUCAUAAAUCAUAGUUUGAGUGGGACCAGUUGAGCAUUUGCCAGCCUGAGUCACUACAGUUUGAGUGGGUAAAUAACUAAAUACGGCUCUUCAC